Molecule: ribosomal RNA, 484 nt
Filed under: uncultured bacterium
Lineage: Bacteria
Description: partial 16S ribosomal RNA
Rfam family: Bacterial small subunit ribosomal RNA
Source: RNAcentral
AUUGAACGCUGGCGGCAUGCUUUACACAUGCGAGUCGAACGGCAGCGCGGGCUUCGGCCUGGCGGCGAGUGGCGAACGGGUGAGUAAUACAUCGGAACGUGCCCAGUAGUGGGGGAUAGCUCGGCGAAAGCCGGAUUAAUACCGCAUACGACCUGAGGGUGAAAGCGGGGGAUCUUCGGACCUCGCGCUAUUGGAGCGGCCGAUGGCAGAUUAGCUAGUUGGUGGGGUAAAGGCCUACCAAGGCGACGAUCUGUAGCUGGUCUGAGAGGACGACCAGCCACACUGGGACUGAGACACGGCCCAGACUCCUACGGGAGGCAGCAGUGGGGAAUUUUGGACAAUGGGCGAAAGCCUGAUCCAGCAAUGCCGCGUGUGUGAUGAAGGCCUUCGGGUUGUAAAGCACUUUUGGCGGGAACGAAAAGGACUGUGCCAAUACCACGGUUCGAUGACGGUACCCGCAGAAUAAGCACCGGCUAACUACAUG